UACAGAGGGGGCAAGCGUUGUCCGGAAUUAUUGGGCGUAAAGAGCUCGUAGGCGGUUUGUCGCGUCUGCUGUGAAAACCCGAGGCUCAACCUCGGGCCUGCAGUGGGUACGGGCAGACUAGAGUGCGGUAGGGGAGAUUGGAAUUCCUGGUGUAGCGGUGGAAUGCGCAGAUAUCAGGAGGAACACCGAUGGCGAAGGCAGGUCUCUGGGCAUUAACUGACGCUGAGGAGCGAAAGCAUGGGGAGCGAACAGG
RNAcentral lists this ribosomal RNA (253 nucleotides) under uncultured bacterium. RNAcentral's name for it is "partial 16S ribosomal RNA". It matches the Rfam family "Bacterial small subunit ribosomal RNA", at positions 524 to 776 of the family's 1533-position model. The record is from RNAcentral.